RNAcentral lists this transfer RNA (71 nucleotides) under Felis catus (domestic cat). It matches the Rfam family "tRNA". From Rfam's summary of the family: Transfer RNA (tRNA) molecules are approximately 80 nucleotides in length. Their secondary structure includes four short double-helical elements and three loops (D, anti-codon, and T loops). The record is from Rfam by way of RNAcentral. RNAcentral also lists the same sequence under 4 other names. Lineage: Eukaryota; Metazoa; Chordata; Mammalia; Carnivora; Felidae.
GCCUGGCUGGUUCAGUCGGUGGAGCAUGCGACUUGAUCUCGGGGUUGUGGGUUCGAGUCCCACGUUGGGUG